This 1141-nucleotide long non-coding RNA is filed under the name Medicago truncatula (barrel medic). RNAcentral's name for it is "long non-coding RNA (MTRU_LNC006419)". Lineage: Eukaryota; Viridiplantae; Streptophyta; Magnoliopsida; Fabales; Fabaceae. The record is from RNAcentral.
UUGCUAGUGACUUCUUAAACAACAUGCAUACAACAAUAUUAAUCAAUAAAUACGUUAGAAAAUGACACUUUGAGCAAAUCAAAUUGACAUAAAUAAUUGCCAUGUUGUUUGGAAAGCAUUUGGAGGUGAACUUCUCCAAGCAUCCGAACAUAACUCCAGGUGCUGACACACAUGAGUAUAUGAACUCAAGUCUCAACCGGUUCAAUUACAAUGUUGCGAAAAACUACCAGUAUUGCUGCUCGCCAACAAAGAUCAUCCACAUGUAUGCCCUCCCAUAACACAUUAUUGAAGUGGACAUUGCAAGUCUUCUCCAGGAGCAUGGACUCAUUCUCAACUACAAAGUAUUUGAGAUGAAGGGAAAAAGUAGGCUCUGGUUCAGUUCGAGUCUGAGGAGGAGGCAACUGAAGCCCUAGUUUGCAGGCAUGCAAAUUCACUAUCUGGCUUCAUGAUCCGCAUCUCCUUUUAUUACUUUUGAAUGCUUCUUCUUCUGCAACAUGGAUACAAAAAUAUUAAUCAUUAAAUAAUAAGUGAGAAAUAAUAUUCGGAGAAAACAAAUUGGUAAAUAUAAUAGUUUUAUCAACACUCAUGUUCAAUGCAUUAGCAUACCUUCACUCUUUCGUUUAAUCAAAGAAAUCACACUUGUUAGAUAUUUAUAUUGAGCAUCGCCAACAAGAUUGAUAUAGCAAAGCACAAUAAAGAAGAUGAACAAAUAUAAGAAAAAGUGAAUGGUCCUCGUCUGAUCAGGUAUAGAAUGAUUACCCAUGAGUUGGUUUUUUGCUUCUCUCGCGGAUCUGAUGGACACAAAACAACACAGAUUAAACAAGAAAAGUGAUCCCAACUACGACAAUUACAAUAAAUAACAAAGUAAGAUCAAUCACCUAAAACUUUACAUGUAAAUAAUAUUUAUUUGAGUAGAAUAAAAUUCCAAUAGAUCUACCCUGUCGAAAAUAUCAUCAUAUUCAAUUCAAUCAAAGAAUUAAACAAGCGCAAACAUGGAAAUACAAGACUACCAUGAAGAAGAAGGAUGAUCCGGAAAGAUCUGACUUACUGCUUCGUGCAAAUACAAGAAUACGAUGAAGGUGAUAGAAACUAGAGGAUUGUCGUUUGGGAGAGUGUCGUCGGCAUAUUGUGAAAGUGAACU